GAAACAUUUUUGUGAAAGGUUAGCAAAAUGAGCUGAGAGCUGAAGCUCGUAAAUUCCAAGAGGAAAACAUUCAAAAACAGAGCGAGCGACAAACUCGACAUCAAAGUGGUGGUGAUCAUCUUUUGUGGGAGGUCAGCUGAGUCCAACAGCAGCAGCAGAAGCAGAAGCAGACUGUGGGCGGCAAUCCUUUAAAAGGAGGAGGGACUGUGCAAAUUAGUUUAUCACUGCAACGCUUUCAGUUUAUGUCUGUGUUUUUAACUUUGGCCCAACCAUAAAAAUUGUUGCCAAAAGUCUGAGUGCCGCACGUGGGCGAGAACGUGGCCUGGUUAUGUCAUGGACUUGACUCUUUCCUCUCUCCCUUCCUCUGCUUGCCUCUGCGUUGGUGUGGCAUGCCGCCUUUAACUUAUUGCCGGAUUAAAUUUGAUGCGCUCGACACGACACCGUCGUCGUCGUCGUCGUCGUCGUUGUCGUGGUGGAAAAUUUGUAUAUGAAAAUGUAAUCAGUUUGCACAAGUUGUUGCUCUUCUUGUGUGCGCUUGUCUUGGGCAAACAAGUGAAAAAAGCACGCGGUUCAAAAAGUCAAAAGACUCUGCACAGAGAAAAAAAAAGGACCCUCGCCAGCAGAAAAGGCGUCUGUAAUUAUGCCACAUUAUCAUUUUGGCCAGCGAAGCGAAUAACGUUGCGGCUUUAAUUUAGUUACCGCGGCUUUUGCGGCCGCUUUGUACCCAGCUUAGAUAUCUUUAAAUAUUAUUCUCCCGCUUGGCAGCUGCAAAUUGUCUAAAGUUCCAUGUAUCAAUUGACGAAAUUUAAUUAAAUUUUCAAGCUGCUCAAUAUUUCAGUUUACACACAAUGUAAAUUGUACAAGAACGGCAACAAGUGAUGUGAAUAAAUUUGCCGAAACUAACUAAAUAAAUUGCCUACUGCUUUUGGCACUUUCGUUUAA
Molecule: long non-coding RNA, 942 nt
Organism: Drosophila sulfurigaster albostrigata
Lineage: Eukaryota; Metazoa; Arthropoda; Insecta; Diptera; Drosophilidae
Exons: 2
Source: RefSeq, a predicted model, not a curated record